RNAcentral lists this ribosomal RNA (301 nucleotides) under uncultured bacterium. RNAcentral's name for it is "partial 16S ribosomal RNA". It matches the Rfam family "Bacterial small subunit ribosomal RNA", at positions 509 to 807 of the family's 1533-position model. The record is from RNAcentral.
CAGCAGCCGCGGUAAUACCGAGGGUGCAAGCGUUAAUCGGAUUUACUGGGCGUAAAGGGCGCGUAGGUGGUUAUGUAAGUGAGAUGUGAAAUCCCCGGGCUCAACCUGGGAACUGCCUUUGAUACUGGACAUCUUGAGUAUGGGAGAGGUGAGUGGAACUCCGAGUGUAGAGGUGAAAUUCGUAGAUAUUCGGAAGAACACCAGUGGCGAAGGCGACUCACUGGCCCAUUACUGACGCUGAGGCGCGAAAGCGUGGGGAGCAAACAGGAUUAGAUACCCCUGUAGUCCCUGUCUCUUAUAC